RNAcentral lists this ribosomal RNA (492 nucleotides) under marine sediment bacterium ISA-1182. RNAcentral describes it as "bacterial SSU rRNA". It matches the Rfam family "Bacterial small subunit ribosomal RNA", at positions 39 to 531 of the family's 1533-position model. The record is from RNAcentral.
GCGGCAGGCCUAAUACAUGCAAGUCGAACGGUAGAUUACUUUCGGGUAAUUGAGAGUGGCGCACGGGUGCGUAACGCGUAUGCAACCUACCCUAUACAGGGGGAUAGCCCGGAGAAAUCUGGAUUAAUACCCCAUAGCACUAUGUUGAGGCAUUUUGAUAUAGUUAAAGAUUUAUCGGUAUAGGAUGGGCAUGCGUCUGAUUAGCUAGUUGGCGGUGUAACGGACCACCAAGGCGACGAUCAGUAGGGGUUCUGAGAGGAAGGUCCCCCACACUGGCACUGAGAUACGGGCCAGACUCCUACGGGAGGCAGCAGUAGGGAAUAUUGGGCAAUGGACGAGAGUCUGACCCAGCCAUGCCGCGUGCAGGAAGACGGCGUUCUGCGUUGUAAACUGCUUUUAUCUGGGAAGAAAAGGCCCAUGCGUGGGACAUUGCCGGUACCAGAUGAAUAAGCACCGGCUAACUCCGUGCCAGCAGCCGCGGUAAUACGGAGG